Molecule: ribosomal RNA, 496 nt
Filed under: uncultured bacterium
Lineage: Bacteria
Description: partial 16S ribosomal RNA
Rfam family: Bacterial small subunit ribosomal RNA
Source: RNAcentral
GAUGAACGCUGGCGGCGUGCCUAAUACAUGCAAGUCGAGCGAACAGACGAGGAGCUUGCUCCUCUGACGUUAGCGGCGGACGGGUGAGUAACACGUGGAUAACCUACCUAUAAGACUGGGAUAACUUCGGGAAACCGGAGCUAAUACCGGAUAAUAUAUUGAACCGCAUGGUUCAAUAGUGAAAGACGGUUUUGCUGUCACUUAUAGAUGGAUCCGCGCCGCAUUAGCUAGUUGGUAAGGUAACGGCUUACCAAGACAACGAUGCGUAGCCGACCUGAGAGGGUGAUCGGCCACACUGGAACUGAGACACGGUCCAGACUCCUACGGGAGGCAGCAGUAGGGAAUCUUCCGCAAUGGGCGAAAGCCUGACGGAGCAACGCCGCGUGAGUGAUGAAGGUCUUCGGAUCGUAAAACUCUGUUAUUAGGGAAGAACAAAUGUGUAAGUAACUAUGCACGUCUUGACGGUACCUAAUCAGAAAGCCACGGCUAACUACGU